This 253-nucleotide ribosomal RNA is filed under the name uncultured bacterium. RNAcentral's name for it is "partial 16S ribosomal RNA". It matches the Rfam family "Bacterial small subunit ribosomal RNA", at positions 524 to 776 of the family's 1533-position model. The record is from RNAcentral.
UACGUAGGGUGCAAGCGUUAAUCGGAAUUACUGGGCGUAAAGCGUGCGCAGGCGGUUUUGUAAGUCUGUCGUGAAAUCCCCGGGCUCAACCUGGGAAUUGCGAUGGAGACUGCAAGGCUAGAAUCUGGCAGAGGGGGGUAGAAUUCCACGUGAAGCAGUGAAAUGCGUAGAGAUGUGGAGGAACACCGAUGGCGAAGGCAGCCCCCUGGGUCAAGAUUGACGCUCAUGCACGAAAGCGUGGGGAGCAAACAGG